UACGGAGGGUGCGAGCGUUGUCCGGAAUCAUUGGGCGUAAAGAGCGUGUAGGCGGCCUGAUAAGUCGGCUGUGAAAGUCAAGGGCUCAACCCUUGAAUGCCGGCCGAUACUGUCAGGCUAGAAUCCGGAGGAGGCGAGUGGAAUUCCUGGUGUAGCGGUGAAAUGCGCAGAUAUCAGGAGGAACACCUAUGGCGAAGGCAGCUCGCUGGGACGGUAUUGACGCUGAGACGCGAAAGCGUGGGGAGCGAACAGG
RNAcentral lists this ribosomal RNA (253 nucleotides) under uncultured bacterium. RNAcentral describes it as "partial 16S ribosomal RNA". It matches the Rfam family "Bacterial small subunit ribosomal RNA", at positions 524 to 776 of the family's 1533-position model. The record is from RNAcentral.